AACUAUUUUGAGAUUUGCAUAUUGCAUAUGACCUUCAAAAUUAGCCCCAGAAUACAUGACCUUUUGAUUUAGUUGCAAUUUGCACCCGGCAGAAGUUCCGACCACUCUCAUGUUUGACCGGCGGUGACGUGGACAUUAUUUUAAAUUACAUGGCAUUACGCGUGGCAUUUAUUACACAGUGGCAAGCCACGCGUUCAAAACGACGUCGUUUUGAUAGGGAGAAAAAAUAAAAAAAAUAAAGAAAAAUGUCUUCUUCUUCAAUCUCCUGCCCGAAGUAGCCCCCACUCCCCUCCCGACCACCGAGCAUUUGAGGCCAUCGAAGCAGCCCCGCCGCUGCGACUUCCUCUCCCGACCACCGAGCAUCCGAGGCCAUCGAAGCAGCCCCGCCGCUGCGACUUCCUCUCCCGACCACCGAGCAUCCGAGGCCACCGAAGCAGCCCCGCUCUGACGCCCCGCCACCGCGACUUCCUCUUCCCCCACGAUCUGCCGCCCUCCAC
Molecule: long non-coding RNA, 497 nt
Filed under: Salvia miltiorrhiza (redroot sage)
Lineage: Eukaryota; Viridiplantae; Streptophyta; Magnoliopsida; Lamiales; Lamiaceae
Description: long non-coding RNA (SMIL_LNC011551)
Source: RNAcentral